GGUAUUGACCGGAUUCCUCAGGACUGGUAACGCUGGCUGUCCUCUUCAUUACCUGGCAGAUCAAUCAGGAGGAGUCCAGGCGGCUUCUGGCUCAUCAGCAGGCCUGUCAUAGCCGCGCCACGCACGAGUAAUCGGGCCCUUGGCGUGAGCUAAAUGCUUUUCUGAGAACCAUACCUGUCUCGGCCACCCCGCUGAGCCCGGACCCACCAACCGGCUGGCUGCCCCCUUGGGAUUCAGUUUCCACGGCAACCCUCCAAGCACGCUCCAGGCUCCUCCCUCAGGUGUGCUUUCAUCUGAAGACUUGAAUGGUCCUCUCUCUCUCUCUCUCUGUCUCUCUCUGUCUCUCUCUGUCUCUCUCCGUCUCUCCGUCUCUCCGUCUCUCCGUCUGUCCGUCUGUCCGUCUGUCCGUCUGUCCGUCUGUCCGUCUGUCCGUCUGUCUGUCUGUCUGUCUGUCUGUCUGUCUGUCUGUCUGUCUGUCUGUCUGUUUCUCUCUCUGUGUCUCAAAUUCAAAUUGAAAAAAGUUUGUUGGCAUUGGAAACAAACGUUUACAUUGCCAAAGCAGGUGAAAAAGGAAUUGAGUAAAAUGAAAAAAUAUCAUCUCCUGUAAAUGGAUAAAGUAAAGAUAUACUGACAUACUCUGUAUUUACAGUGUGGAGGAUGUGUGCAAUCAUUGUUAACAGACAAAAAAUGUGAAGUGUAAUAUUAACCAAAAGGUGUGCUAGUGGUUAAAGUCCAGCGGGCUGAGUCUGUUUAUGGAGUUUGUGGUCCUAGGUCACAAAUAAUGCUGCUGUGAUCGCACGCAUUUCACCAAAUAGAUAUGGCAGCAUGUGUUAGCAUCUUGAGUGUUUAAAGUACUUGUAGGUCUAUGUAAUCCCUGGGAAGUGUGUGUUACUGAUGUCUUGGUAUGAUAGGCAGGAAGUUAUGAAGUGCAGCUAAGUUUCCAGUUGGUUUUGUGUGCAGUGGGGGCACAGUCUGUCUUUUCUUGCGAGCCAGGUCUAUCUUUGGCGUCUCCUUCCGAUGGCCAGGCUGUGUCUAUGAUGAAGUCUAUACUAUAGACCUGGUCUAGGAUUUUCUUAGUUCUGGGUCAGUCAUGGUGGUCUGUAUAUUCUCCAUUUAGGGACAAGUUGCCAAUUUACUCAGUUUUAUGGUGGAUUCUUUCCAAUGUGCCCAAUUGUUUUAUUUUCUUAUAAUUUGGUUUUGCUUGAUGAUGGUGGUUGUUGUUGGACAGAGUCCCAGGGCAGGCUGGCUAAGGGGUUGUUUUUUUUGGGUGUAACUCUCUGUGGGUCAGGGCCUUGUUGUGGAGCCUGUUGCUGUCUCGUUUCUUCAGGUGCUUAUAAAAUGAUACUGCUCUCUUCUGGAUUUUAAUAUUGAUCAGAUAUCGUCCCAAUUCUGUGCUGCAUGCAUUAUUUGGUGUUUUUCUUUGGACUCUGAGGAUAGAUUUACAGAAUUCUGCAUGUGGAGUUUGAUUAAUGUUUGUUCCAUUUUAUAAAAUCUUGGUUAGCUUGUUGAGCCAAGACCUCAGAGCCAUAUGUGUUCUAUAACUGCGUCAUUUUGAGCCAAAUCUUAAGUGGGAUGUCUAGUUUGAUGUUUCCUUUAAUGGCGUAAAAUGCUGUCCUUACCUUGUCUCUUAGCAGGUUAUUAAUGUUUUUGCCAAGGUAGGUACAGGUUUUUUUUUGCUCUAGACAGAGCAACAAUGUCUAGGUGGAAUUGUUAUUUGUGGUGGCUGGGUCUUUUUUCCAAUAUCAUUAUUUUAGUUUUACUAAGGUU
Gadus morhua (Atlantic cod) is the source of this 1767-nucleotide long non-coding RNA. The record is from Ensembl. Lineage: Eukaryota; Metazoa; Chordata; Actinopteri; Gadiformes; Gadidae.